RNAcentral lists this ribosomal RNA (245 nucleotides) under uncultured Eubacteriales bacterium. Its description in RNAcentral is "uncultured Clostridiales bacterium partial 16S ribosomal RNA". It matches the Rfam family "Bacterial small subunit ribosomal RNA", at positions 524 to 768 of the family's 1533-position model. The record is from RNAcentral. Lineage: Bacteria; Bacillati; Bacillota; Clostridia; Eubacteriales.
AACGUAGGGGGCGAGCGUUGUCCGGAAUUACUGGGCGUAAAGCGCGUGUAGGCGGAUUUUUAAGUCGGGUGUGAAAACUCUGGGCUCAACCCAGAGACUGCAUCCGAAACUGGGGAUCUUGAGGGUGAGAGAGGAAAGUGGAAUUCCUAGUGUAGCGGUGAAAUGCGUAGAUAUUAGGAGGAACACCAGUGGCGAAGGCGGCUUUCUGGCUCAUACCUGACGCUGAGACGCGAAAGCGUGGGGAG